Molecule: long non-coding RNA, 400 nt
Organism: Colius striatus (speckled mousebird)
Lineage: Eukaryota; Metazoa; Chordata; Aves; Coliiformes; Coliidae
Exons: 3
Source: RefSeq, a predicted model, not a curated record
AAAAGCAAGGAUGACUUAAUUGAGGCUCCAGGAAUUUGUCUUGUCCACCACCCUUCUGCUGCUACAGCAGAGUCAAGGGUUCUGGAAGAGCCCUGUGCCACUGCCAUGUGCAAGGAUUAAGAGGGAGCUCAUUCUACAAACAGCUGAGGAAAGAUAGGGAAUUGAGUUUCCUCCUGUCUUGCUGGGAGACCCUUUUUCAGCUGGAACUAGUUCUCAAUCAAGUUCAUUGUGGUUGGUUAUUCUGUCAAUGUGAAGGAAGAGAUGAGAGCAUCCUUUUGGCAGCACCACUGUGUCCUCUUGUCUUACAGCAAUUAUGGAACCAUUAGGCAAGUUAAGAAUCUGGUCUCCUGUCUGGUUACUAGGGAGAAAGGUGCAUUCCUCUAGAUGGUGAUUUACUGUA